CAAACACACUAUAUAACAACCUCCAUUUCCUCCUCAUUCCAUACACUAAAAGUCACCAACAAAAAUACCAUGAAAACUCUGUCAAAUUUCUUCCUCAAAACCCUUAAAUCCGCAACCCUCAACCUUGCUACAAAACUCACUCACAACCUCCCGAAAAUUGUAGCCUAUUCUCACCCUCAAUAUUCAUAUUCAAAACCACAGCCGCAACAACUUCACACUCACAUAUCAAUAACAACACACGCACAAAAGGAGAUCAGAGAAGAAGAUUCCGAGUCCAAGAACAAAAGAAAAACACAGAAGAAAAGAAAGUACUAUAUGUAUUUUUUUGUUGCUACUUUUGAUUUGUGUUUCCAUUUGAUUUGA
Non-coding RNA from Vicia faba (fava bean), 363 nucleotides. The record is from the annotation of a GenBank genome assembly. NCBI's taxonomy places the organism in Eukaryota, Viridiplantae, Streptophyta, Magnoliopsida, Fabales, Fabaceae.